CUACCCGCAACAGGAGGAUAGCUCCCCGAAACGGGGAAGUUAACCCUCCAUGAGAUCACACGAGGGCAUCUGAGAGUGAUUAAAUCUGAGGAGGUUGUGGAUGAGCAUGCGACUGAUUAGCUAGUUGGCAGUGUAACGGACUACCAAGGCGAUGAUCAGUAGGGGAACUGAGAGGUUGAUCCCCCACACUGGCACUGAGAUACGGGCCAG
RNAcentral lists this ribosomal RNA (210 nucleotides) under uncultured bacterium. RNAcentral describes it as "partial 16S ribosomal RNA". It matches the Rfam family "Bacterial small subunit ribosomal RNA", at positions 126 to 334 of the family's 1533-position model. The record is from RNAcentral.